Molecule: non-coding RNA, 1319 nt
Organism: Meleagris gallopavo (turkey)
Lineage: Eukaryota; Metazoa; Chordata; Aves; Galliformes; Phasianidae
Source: RefSeq, a predicted model, not a curated record
GCUUUGCCUUUAUUCUGAGGAACUCUCUCGUGGUUUUCUGGGGGCCAUUGGUUGAGUUGCAGUGUGUGACCUUGCUGGCAUCUCACCUGUAUGCAGCUCCUAACGAAGCUGUGGCCCCGGCUCUGCAUGCUCUCCUCCCAGAUAUUUUGCACCUGGUGCCACCGGCCCCCGCUUCAAAGCAGGGCUCUCACUACGAGCUGGGCACGCACAUCCAGCGGUGGAAUUUGACACUAACAAAUGAACUCUCAUUAUUUUCCUGCGGAACUGAGCCUCUGUUGCCACCGUGCGGGCGUUUGGCAGAGAGCUGCUCCUCAGCCUCAGCGCUGGGGCAGCAGUGAUGUCCCUGCAGUCCGACUGCCCACAGCCACCCCUCUGCCAUUGCUAUGAAUCGGUGCUAAUUGCUACCUGUGAGCAAUGGGCUGUGCCACCGCAGCUCCUGCGCCCGAGGAGGAAGGAGAGGAAGGAGUGUUUUCUGGGAAUCCUUUGCUUCUGCUGCCCCAGCUCUGGAAGCAGGCAGCCUUCAGCUGCUGGGGCUGUUAAUGUCACCUUUCCCAAGUGCUACGCUUGCAAAGCAACCUGCCAAGUAUAGCACGUCUUAAUUUGCUCCUUUCCCAUGCAUUCCUGGAUUUACAGCUUGGUUUCGUCUGGCUGCUGCUUGCUGGGAGGGGUGAAGCCCCUUCGGAGGGCAGCUCUGAGCCUUGUGGGUUCCCAUGCUGCUCCCUGAAAAGCAUCACCUAAACAGAAGCUCAGGUUUGAUUGGGCAGAAACUGAUCUCCUGGCAUCGCUUAUCUAUGCAAUGAUUGCACCCAGCAGGCUGCUGUCCCAGCACCCGUACGUUGUUCUGUAUUCUCUUUAAAUGUUUUUUAGGUAGUGCGGAUUUGGCACUGCAGUAAUAUGUGUAAAAUGAAAAAAAGAAAAAAAGAAACAGCGUAGGAAAAAAUGCAUUUUCAGUGAUGCCCGUGCUGGGCUGAAAAGUACAUUUGAAGUCGCUUGCCAUCUGCAGCAACUUGUCCAAAGCAAACAUUACCCGUCGGGCCAGGUCUGGCUGCGUAAUUGCCAUAAACCAUCACGAGGGCAUCCAGAAUAGCACAGCCCUGGAACGACUUCGAGGAUUAGGUCCUACUCCCUUGAAAAAUAAACCUUGGCAAAAGCUCAGCUCUCCCUAAUAAAAAUUCCAUUUUCACAGCUCUAAUCAAGUUUUCCAGAGCCGCAGUCCAAAUUAGGAUCUGCGUGCAGAAUAUCCGACCCAGGAGAACGGGAUGGAGCUUUGCAUGGGAAGCAGUGCCAGGCUGGAAAUUUCCAAAGUGCUCAACAGUUCA